CAUCACCAGACCAGAUGGUCAAGUGGAAUGUUCCUAAGCUAAGAUCAAGUAUAUAGGAGUUGUUUACACGAAAGCAGAGCACAAAGACUGGGCCUUCCAUAACUGCACGUGCCCAAUACCUGCCCCUAUUGAGAUGCUGGACAAGGUUUUGUUUCGGGAUCCUGAAGGACGUUUUGAAGGCCUCUGAAGAYGAUGUAGGGRACUUGAUACUAACAGUGGAUCUGARGAUGCAAAUAUGUCUGGAGAUCAGACUUCAUUGCACAAGACACCCAGCAAAUAAAGGACCAAGAACUCCCUGCCAUGGGCCUGGAAACGCAGUCCUCCCGCUUCGCAGUUGGCCUUGCCUCCUUAAAGUCUGAUUUUCGGUCAGCCAGUAGAACUGUGGAGGAUGUCGGUUCAUACUGGAUUCUACAUCGUCAGAGUCCUGCUCUGAAUAUGCUCAAAAUCUCAGCUAUAAGAGAGCAUCUCAGAAUUGCRGUGCUGCAAAUGACUUCUGUUUUAGAUCUUCUCACACACCCCCUCGUCUUCCU
This is a long non-coding RNA of Nothoprocta perdicaria, 530 nucleotides long. RefSeq lists it as uncharacterized. The record is from RefSeq and is a predicted model, not a curated record. Lineage: Eukaryota; Metazoa; Chordata; Aves; Tinamiformes; Tinamidae. The transcript is spliced from 2 exons.